Molecule: ribosomal RNA, 1452 nt
Filed under: uncultured organism
Description: 16S ribosomal RNA
Rfam family: Bacterial small subunit ribosomal RNA
Source: RNAcentral
AUUGAACGCUGGCGGCAGGCCUAACACAUGCAAGUCGAACGGUAACAGGAAGCAGCUUGCUGCUUUGCUGACGAGUGGCGGACGGGUGAGUAAUGUCUGGGAAACUGCCCGAUGGAGGGGGAUAACUACUGGAAACGGUAGCUAAUACCGCAUAACGUCGCAAGACCAAAGAGGGGGACCUUAGGGCCUCUUGCCAUCGGAUGUGCCCAGAUGGGAUUAGCUAGUAGGUGGGGUAAUGGCUCACCUAGGCGACGAUCCCUAGCUGGUCUGAGAGGAUGACCAGCCACACUGGAACUGAGACACGGUCCAGACUCCUACGGGAGGCAGCAGUGGGGAAUAUUGCACAAUGGGCGCAAGCCUGAUGCAGCCAUGCCGCGUGUAUGAAGAAGGCCUUCGGGUUGUAAAGUACUUUCAGCGGGGAGGAAGGGAGUAAAGUUAAUACCUUUGCUCAUUGACGUUACCCGCAGAAGAAGCACCGGCUAACUCCGUGCCAGCAGCCGCGGUAAUACGGAGGGUGCAAGCGUUAAUCGGAAUUACUGGGCGUAAAGCGCACGCAGGCGGUUUGUUAAGUCAGAUGUGAAAUCCCCGGGCUCAACCUGGGAACUGCAUCUGAUACUGGCAAGCUUGAGUCUCGUAGAGGGGGGUAGAAUUCCAGGUGUAGCGGUGAAAUGCGUAGAGAUCUGGAGGAAUACCGGUGGCGAAGGCGGCCCCCUGGACGAAGACUGACGCUCAGGUGCGAAAGCGUGGGGGAGCAAACAGGAUUAGAUACCCUGGUAGUCCACGCCGUAAACGAUGUCGACUUGGAGGUUGUGCCCUUGAGGCGUGGCUUCCGGAGCUAACGCGUUAAGUCGACCGCCUGGGGAGUACGGCCGCAAGGUUAAAACUCAAAUGAAUUGACGGGGGCCCGCACAAGCGGUGGAGCAUGUGGUUUAAUUCGAUGCAACGCGAAGAACCUUACCUGGUCUUGACAUCCACGGAAGUUUUCAGAGAUGAGAAUGUGCCUUCGGGAACCGUGAGACAGGUGCUGCAUGGCUGUCGUCAGCUCGUGUUGUGAAAUGUUGGGUUAAGUCCCGCAACGAGCGCAACCCUUAUCCUUUGUUGCCAGCGGUCCGGCCGGGAACUCAAAGGAGACUGCCAGUGAUAAACUGGAGGAAGGUGGGGAUGACGUCAAGUCAUCAUGGCCCUUACGACCAGGGCUACACACGUGCUACAAUGGCGCAUACAAAGAGAAGCGACCUCGCGAGAGCAAGCGGACCUCAUAAAGUGCGUCGUAGUCCGGAUUGGAGUCUGCAACUCGACUCCAUGAAGUCGGAAUCGCUAGUAAUCGUGGAUCAGAAUGCCACGGUGAAUACGUUCCCGGGCCUUGUACACACCGCCCGUCACACCAUGGGAGUGGGUUGCAAAAGAAGUAGGUAGCUUAACCUUCGGGAGGGCGCUUACCACUUUGUGAUU